GUCGAGCGGUAGCACAGAGAGCUUGCUCUCGGGUGACGAGCGGCGGACGGGUGAGUAAUGUCUGGGAAACUGCCUGAUGGAGGGGGAUAACUACUGGAAACGGUAGCUAAUACCGCAUAACGUCGCAAGACCAAAGUGGGGGACCUUCGGGCCUCAUGCCAUCAGAUGUGCCCAGAUGGGAUUAGCUGGUAGGUGGGGUAACGGCUCACCUAGGCGACGAUCCCUAGCUGGUCUGAGAGGAUGACCAGCCACACUGGAACUGAGACACGGUCCAGACUCCUACGGGAGGCAGCAGUGGGGAAUAUUGCACAAUGGGCGCAAGCCUGAUGCAGCCAUGCCGCGUGUGUGAAGAAGGCCUUCGGGUUGUAAAGCACUUUCAGCGGGGAGGAAGGCGGUGAGGUUAAUAACCUCACCGAUUGACGUUACCCGCAGAAGAAGCACCGGCUAACUCCGUGCCAGCAGCCGCGGUAAUACGGAGGGUGCAAGCGUUAAUCGGAAUUACUGGGCGUAAAGCGCACGCAGGCGGUCUGUCAAGUCGGAUGUGAAAUCCCCGGGCUCAACCUGGGAACUGCAUUCGAAACUGGCAGGCUAGAGUCUUGUAGAGGGGGGUAGAAUUCCAGGUGUAGCGGUGAAAUGCGUAGAGAUCUGGAGGAAUACCGGUGGCGAAGGCGGCCCCCUGGACAAAGACUGACGCUCAGGUGCGAAAGCGUGGGGAGCAAACAGGAUUAGAUACCCUGGUAGUCCACGCUGUAAACGAUGUCGAUUUGGAGGUUGUGCCCUUGAGGCGUGGCUUCCGGAGCUAACGCGUUAAAUCGACCGCCUGGGGAGUACGGCCGCAAGGUUAAAACUCAAAUGAAUUGACGGGGGCCCGCACAAGCGGUGGAGCAUGUGGUUUAAUUCGAUGCAACGCGAAGAACCUUACCUGGUCUUGACAUCCACAGAACUUUCCAGAGAUGGAUUGGUGCCUUCGGGAACUGUGAGACAGGUGCUGCAUGGCUGUCGUCAGCUCGUGUUGUGAAAUGUUGGGUUAAGUCCCGCAACGAGCGCAACCCUUAUCCUUUGUUGCCAGCGGUUCGGCCGGGAACUCAAAGGAGACUGCCAGUGAUAAACUGGAGGAAGGUGGGGAUGACGUCAAGUCAUCAUGGCCCUUACGACCAGGGCUACACACGUGCUACAAUGGCAUAUACAAAGAGAAGCGACCUCGCGAGAGCAAGCGGACCUCAUAAAGUAUGUCGUAGUCCGGAUUGGAGUCUGCAACUCGACUCCAUGAAGUCGGAAUCGCUAGUAAUCGUAGAUCAGAAUGCUACGGUGAAUACGUUCCCGGGCCUUGUACACACCGCCCGUCACACCAUGGGAGUGGGUUGCAAAAGAAGUAGGUAGCUUAACCUUCGGGAGGGC
Molecule: ribosomal RNA, 1398 nt
Filed under: Klebsiella variicola
Lineage: Bacteria; Pseudomonadati; Pseudomonadota; Gammaproteobacteria; Enterobacterales; Enterobacteriaceae
Description: bacterial SSU rRNA
Rfam family: Bacterial small subunit ribosomal RNA
Source: RNAcentral